UAGGUUUCCAAAAAUUAGGGAAUCAAAGUAUAGAUUUUUAAAUACUCCAAGAGUACCUUUAAAUGAUCCCAUUAUUUCACAAAAUAUGAAUUCUAUUGCAGCAGAUAAGGCCUAAAUUUACCUAUUGUUGAUGUUAGCGAAGUUUUUCUUAAUCAGCAUUUGCCUGUAUUUUUAUAGUGUUGUAGAAGGGUAUCACACUAGGCUAUGGUUGUUCAUGCCUUUCCUAUUCUUUGCAGGCAUAUGGUCAACAGGAUAAUG
This 258-nucleotide unclassified non-coding RNA is filed under the name Hevea brasiliensis (rubber tree). Lineage: Eukaryota; Viridiplantae; Streptophyta; Magnoliopsida; Malpighiales; Euphorbiaceae. The record is from RNAcentral.